RNAcentral lists this ribosomal RNA (776 nucleotides) under Candeina nitida. Its description in RNAcentral is "SSU rRNA". It matches the Rfam family "Eukaryotic small subunit ribosomal RNA", at positions 1244 to 1710 of the family's 1831-position model. The record is from RNAcentral. Lineage: Eukaryota; Foraminifera; Rotaliida; Candeinidae.
AAAUAUGCUAGUCCUUUCAUGAUUAUGUGAUAGGUGGUGCAUGGCCGUUCUUAGUUCGUGGAGUGAUCUGUCUGCUUAAUUGCGUUUCACUAUAAGGAUCUAUAUUCUUUACAGUGUGCAGUGCAUUGACCCCUUCUUCGGAAGCGUGUGUCUUUACGCUCACACUUCAUUAGGUCCUGAAAGCAACGAACGUGACCGCAACCUCUUGUUGCCUCUGUGCUCCUACACGCUCAAUGCGCUAAACACUGGUUUUCUUCGGAAGCUUAGUGCGUUGGUUGAGGCUUUCUUAAACUAGAGGGACCGCUGUCAACUUCUUAAACCAGAGGAAGGUUGCGGCAAUAACAGGUCUGUGAUGCCCUUAGAUGUUCCGGGCUGCACACGUGCUACAAUGAUUGUUGCAGUGAGCAUCUCAAUUCUUUACCACACCGCACACGUGAGUCUUUAACGUUUUGUUAAUGCACUUUACGCAGCGGUAACGCCUGCUUCGAGAGCAAGUGGGUAAUCAAUUAGAAGUAACGAUUUCCCAAGUUAGCACACUUAUAUACGGCGUUUAUGCCCGGGUUUCACUCGUUGAUUCCUUUGUGCGCGUAGAUGGAUUCUUCCGUAUGUGCAAUUGUCAAUUCAUGGUGGGGACAGACCAUUGUUAAUUGUUGGUCUCGGUCUUAACUAGGAAUGCCUUGUACGGGUCUUUGGUUCAACAAACCACCCGGAAUACGUCCCUGCCCUUUGUACACACCGCCCGUCGCUCUUACCGAUGGACUUCUCUGUGAGUUUGA